RNAcentral lists this transfer RNA (70 nucleotides) under Craspedonirmus immer. Its description in RNAcentral is "tRNA-Leu". The record is from RNAcentral. Lineage: Eukaryota; Metazoa; Arthropoda; Insecta; Psocodea; Philopteridae.
UCUAUUGUGGCAGAUAAAGUGCGAUAGAUUUAAAAUCUAUAUAUGAGAUAUUGUUAUAUUUCCCUUAGAA